CUACGUGCCAGCAGCCGCGGUAAUACGUAGGGCGCGAGCGUUGUCCGGAAUUAUUGGGCGUAAAGAGCUUGUAGGCGGUUUGUCGCGUCUGCUGUGAAAGGCCGGAGCUUAACUCCGUGUAUUGCAGUGGGUACGGGCAGACUAGAGUGCAGUAGGGGAGACUGGAAUUCCUGGUGUAGCGGUGGAAUGCGCAGAUAUCGGGAGGAACACCGAUGGCGAAGGCAGGUCUCUGGGCUGUAACUGACGCUGGGAAGCGAAAGCAUGGGGAGCGAACAGGAUUAGAUACCCUGGUAGUCCAUGCCGUAAACGUUGGGCACUAGGUGUGGGGAACAUUCCACGUUUUCCGCGCCGUAGCUAACGCAUUAAGUGCCCCGCCUGGGGAGUACGGCCGCAAGGCUAAAACUCAAAGAAAUUGACGGGGGCCCGCACAAGCGGCGGAGCAUGCGGAUUAAUUCGAUGCAACGCGAAGAACCUUACCAAGGCUUGACAU
This 490-nucleotide ribosomal RNA is filed under the name uncultured bacterium. RNAcentral's name for it is "bacterial SSU rRNA". It matches the Rfam family "Bacterial small subunit ribosomal RNA", at positions 501 to 987 of the family's 1533-position model. The record is from RNAcentral.